GUAGGUGAACCUGCGGAAGGAUCAUUAACACUAUUAAAAAAAUACGAGCAUUAUGGGUGUGUUUUCUUUUUCACGAAAGAGAAUUGCCUUUUUGCUCUUAUCCAAUUUACCCAAACUAUUUGAAAGUGCUUGUUGAUUUUUUUUAUUCUUCUUUGUUUUCGAACAAAAGAAAAAAAAAAAUCACUUUUUUUUAUUUUUUUAUAUACAAAACAACCCCAAAUCUUUCUUUGCUAAUGCAAAUGACAAUUACUAAAAACAAAAAUAACUACUUUAACGUAACCAAACAACUCUUAGCAACGGAUAUCUUGGCUCUC
Molecule: unclassified non-coding RNA, 314 nt
Filed under: rhizosphere metagenome
Description: partial ribosomal RNA internal transcribed spacer region
Source: RNAcentral